GAUGAACGCUGGCGGCGUGCCUAAUACAUGCAAGUCGAGCGAACAGAUGAGGAGCUUGCUCCUUUGACGUUAGCGGCGGACGGGUGAGUAACACGUGGGUAACCUACCUAUAAGACUGGGAUAACUACGGGAAACCGGGGCUAAUGCCGGAUAACAUUUAGAACCGCAUGGUUCUAAAGUGAAAGAUGGUUUUGCUAUCACUUAUAGAUGGAUCCGCGCCGUAUUAGCUAGUUGGUAAGGUAACGGCUUACCAAGGCAACGAUACGUAGCCGACCUGAGAGGGUGAUCGGCCACACUGGAACUGAGACACGGUCCAGACUCCUACGGGAGGCAGCAGUAGGGAAUCUUCCGCAAUGGGCGAAAGCCUGACGGAGCAACGCCGCGUGAGUGAUGAAGGUCUUCGGAUCGUAAAACUCUGUUAUUAGGGAAGAACAAAUGUGUAAGUAACUGUGCACGUCUUGACGGUACCUAAUCAGAAAGCCACGGCUAACUACGUG
This 497-nucleotide ribosomal RNA is filed under the name uncultured bacterium. Its description in RNAcentral is "partial 16S ribosomal RNA". It matches the Rfam family "Bacterial small subunit ribosomal RNA", at positions 28 to 507 of the family's 1533-position model. The record is from RNAcentral.